This 72-nucleotide transfer RNA is filed under the name Schistosoma japonicum. RNAcentral's name for it is "tRNA-OTHER". Lineage: Eukaryota; Metazoa; Platyhelminthes; Trematoda; Strigeidida; Schistosomatidae. The record is from RNAcentral.
GACUCAGUAGUCCAGUGGUAAAGCGCUAGUCGCGGAGCCAGAGGGUCCAAGGUUCGAUCCCAGACGGGGUCG